GGCGUUAAGUUGCAGGGUAUAGACCCGAAACCCGGUGAUCUAGCCAUGGGCAGGUUGAAGGUUGGGUAACACUAACUGGAGGACCGAACCGACUAAUGUUGAAAAAUUAGCGGAUGACUUGUGGCUGGGGGUGAAAGGCCAAUCAAACCGGGAGAUAGCUGGUUCUCCCCGAAAGCUAUUUAGGUAGCGCCUCGUGAAUUCAUCUCCGGGGGUAGAGCACUGUUUCGGCAAGGGGGUCAUCCCGACUUACCAACCCGAUGCAAACUGCGAAUACCGGAGAAUGUUAUCACGGGAGACACACGGCGGGUGCUAACGUCCGUCGUGAAGAGGGAAACAACCCAGACCGCCAGCUAAGGUCCCAAAGUCAUGGUUAAGUGGGAAACGAUGUGGGAAGGCCCAGACAGCCAGGAUGUUGGCUUAGAAGCAGCCAUCAUUUAAAGAAAGCGUAAUAGCUCACUGGUCGAGUCGGCCUGCGCGGAAGAUGUAACGGGGCUAAACCAUGCACCGAAGCUGCGGCAGCGACACUGUGUGUUGUUGGGUAGGGGAGCGUUCUGUAAGCCUGUGAAGGUGUGCUGUGAGGCAUGCUGGAGGUAUCAGAAGUGCGAAUGCUGACAUAAGUAACGAUAAAGCGGGUGAAAAGCCCGCUCGCCGGAAGACCAAGGGUUCCUGUCCAACGUUAAUCGGGGCAGGGUGAGUCGACCCCUAAGGCGAGGCCGAAAGGCGUAGUCGAUGGGAAACAGGUUAAUAUUCCUGUACUUGGUGUUACUGCGAAGGGGGGACGGAGAAGGCUAUGUUGGCCGGGCGACGGUUGUCCCGGUUUAAGCGUGUAGGCUGGUUUUCCAGGCAAAUCCGGAAAAUCAAGGCUGAGGCGUGAUGACGAGGCACUACGGUGCUGAAGCAACAAAUGCCCUGCUUCCAGGAAAAGCCUCUAAGCAUCAGGUAACAUCAAAUCGUACCCCAAACCGACACAGGUGGUCAGGUAGAGAAUACCAAGGCGCUUGAGAGAACUCGGGUGAAGGAACUAGGCAAAAUGGUGCCGUAACUUCGGGAGAAGGCACGCUGAUAUGUAGGUGAAGUCCCUCGCGGAUGGAGCUGAAAUCAGUCGAAGAUACCAGCUGGCUGCAACUGUUUAUUAAAAACACAGCACUGUGCAAACACGAAAGUGGACGUAUACGGUGUGACGCCUGCCCGGUGCCGGAAGGUUAAUUGAUGGGGUCAGCGCAAGCGAAGCUCUUGAUCGAAGCCCCGGUAAACGGCGGCCGUAACUAUAACGGUCCUAAGGUAGCGAAAUUCCUUGUCGGGUAAGUUCCGACCUGCACGAAUGGCGUAAUGAUGGCCAGGCUGUCUCCACCCGAGACUCAGUGAAAUUGAACUCGCUGUGAAGAUGCAGUGUACCCGCGGCAAGACGGAAAGACCCCGUGAACCUUUACUAUAGCUUGACACUGAACAUUGAGCCUUGAUGUGUAGGAUAGGUGGGAGGCUUUGAAGUGUGGACGCCAGUCUGCAUGGAGCCGACCUUGAAAUACCACCCUUUAAUGUUUGAUGUUCUAACGUGGACCCGUGAUCCGGGUUGCGGACAGUGUCUGGUGGGUAGUUUGACUGGGGCGGUCUCCUCCUAAAGAGUAACGGAG
Molecule: ribosomal RNA, 1631 nt
Filed under: Escherichia coli O157:H7
Lineage: Bacteria; Pseudomonadati; Pseudomonadota; Gammaproteobacteria; Enterobacterales; Enterobacteriaceae
Description: partial 23S ribosomal RNA
Rfam family: Bacterial large subunit ribosomal RNA
Source: RNAcentral